RNAcentral lists this ribosomal RNA (1316 nucleotides) under Streptococcus thermophilus. Its description in RNAcentral is "bacterial SSU rRNA". It matches the Rfam family "Bacterial small subunit ribosomal RNA", at positions 99 to 1404 of the family's 1533-position model. The record is from RNAcentral. Lineage: Bacteria; Bacillati; Bacillota; Bacilli; Lactobacillales; Streptococcaceae.
CGAACGGGUGAGUAACGCGUAGGUAACCUGCCUUGUAGCGGGGGAUAACUAUUGGAAACGAUAGCUAAUACCGCAUAACAAUGGAUGACACAUGUCAUUUAUUUGAAAGGGGCAAUUGCUCCACUACAAGAUGGACCUGCGUUGUAUUAGCUAGUAGGUGAGGUAAUGGCUCACCUAGGCGACGAUACAUAGCCGACCUGAGAGGGUGAUCGGCCACACUGGGACUGAGACACGGCCCAGACUCCUACGGGAGGCAGCAGUAGGGAAUCUUCGGCAAUGGGGGCAACCCUGACCGAGCAACGCCGCGUGAGUGAAGAAGGUUUUCGGAUCGUAAAGCUCUGUUGUAAGUCAAGAACGGGUGUGAGAGUGGAAAGUUCACACUGUGACGGUAGCUUACCAGAAAGGGACGGCUAACUACGUGCCAGCAGCCGCGGUAAUACGUAGGUCCCGAGCGUUGUCCGGAUUUAUUGGGCGUAAAGCGAGCGCAGGCGGUUUGAUAAGUCUGAAGUUAAAGGCUGUGGCUCAACCAUAGUUCGCUUUGGAAACUGUCAAACUUGAGUGCAGAAGGGGAGAGUGGAAUUCCAUGUGUAGCGGUGAAAUGCGUAGAUAUAUGGAGGAACACCGGUGGCGAAAGCGGCUCUCUGGUCUGUAACUGACGCUGAGGCUCGAAAGCGUGGGGAGCGAACAGGAUUAGAUACCCUGGUAGUCCACGCCGUAAACGAUGAGUGCUAGGUGUUGGAUCCUUUCCGGGAUUCAGUGCCGCAGCUAACGCAUUAAGCACUCCGCCUGGGGAGUACGACCGCAAGGUUGAAACUCAAAGGAAUUGACGGGGGCCCGCACAAGCGGUGGAGCAUGUGGUUUAAUUCGAAGCAACGCGAAGAACCUUACCAGGUCUUGACAUCCCGAUGCUAUUUCUAGAGAUAGAAAGUUACUUCGGUACAUCGGUGACAGGUGGUGCAUGGUUGUCGUCAGCUCGUGUCGUGAGAUGUUGGGUUAAGUCCCGCAACGAGCGCAACCCCUAUUGUUAGUUGCCAUCAUUCAGUUGGGCACUCUAGCGAGACUGCCGGUAAUAAACCGGAGGAAGGUGGGGAUGACGUCAAAUCAUCAUGCCCCUUAUGACCUGGGCUACACACGUGCUACAAUGGUUGGUACAACGAGUUGCGAGUCGGUGACGGCGAGCUAAUCUCUUAAAGCCAAUCUCAGUUCGGAUUGUAGGCUGCAACUCGCCUACAUGAAGUCGGAAUCGCUAGUAAUCGCGGAUCAGCACGCCGCGGUGAAUACGUUCCCGGGCCUUGUACACACCGCCCGUCACACCA